GUACAGCGACCCUAAAAGCAACAGAAUGGAACCAGCAGUGUUAUACGAGGAGGAGGACCUGGAUGGCCGGGAUGCAUUAAGGAAAGGCAUCUGGUACCAGGCCCUGGAUAAUGUACAAUACCAGCGGGGUGAGAGUCUCCCCAGUGAAGAGCAGCGAUUGCAGAAGCAAGUGGCCCUGCGUAUGCCCUUCCUGGGAGAGCAGCCCCUGGAGGAAUGGGUGAAGGAACUAGAGCACCGGGUAUGGCAGGAGCUAUGGCUGGAGGAUGCCUACCAGGCGCUCUGGUGGUAUAUGGCACAGUAUAUACCCUGGACAGCUGAGCAUGACAAGCCAGAGGGAGAGAAGUUUGAUGGUCCUGGCUUGUUAUGGGAGUCCUUUGCAGAGC
Non-coding RNA from Pelobates cultripes (western spadefoot toad), 383 nucleotides. Lineage: Eukaryota; Metazoa; Chordata; Amphibia; Anura; Pelobatidae. The record is from the annotation of a GenBank genome assembly.